CCACAGAGCACUUAAUGUGCUCCUUUGUGCUGGAAGAGGUGGGAAUCUGGCAACUGACAGUGGUCAGUAUGCCGCCAUUCACCACCACAUGGAACACCUUGCCUCAUCUGCAGCCAAUGCAGACAUACAAGGUCGUGCUAAAAAGAUUAGGAAGGAAAUGCAUGAAGUUAACUUCUGUGCAUUUAGCCAUUUCCUGGCUGAUGUUUUUCAUGAGCUGGCCUCACUCAGCUGCAUCCUUCAGAGGAAUGAUCUCAUUCUACCUCAAGCAGUUUCAGAAAUUAGGAAGACAGUCAUGGUACUGCAGGCUAUGCAGGGAACCCCUAAGAGAGGUGGCAUGCUAUGCCAGUUUUUGGCUUCUCUUCCAGGACCGCAAAUGGAAGAAGUCACAUUUCAGGUUUGUUAGGGGUACAGAGGAUAGCAUACAUCUCAAUACAUUAGCGUAGCUGAGACUGCAUUUUGCUAAACAGUGAUUUACAACCAUAAAGUUGUAUUCUACAGCACCACAGUACACAAGCAAUGUCUCUUACAUUCUCUCUCUUCAUUCUUUGCUCCUAUCAGGGUGUGCCACUCUCUGGUGAUGUGACGGGUAACUUAGGCAAUCAGAAACUAAAAAAAAAACAUGACUGCUGGGAUUGCCAUCACUGUGGAAGCCCUGAAUACUCGCUUUGGUAGUCUGAUCAAUGCGGAAACCCAAGACUACUCUGUGGUAAAUUGUUUCACAAUUUUCAACCAUGACACAUGGCCUGAAAAUAGUGAUGAGCUCCUCAACUAUGGAUCUGACAAGGUGGAAGCCCUCGUGGAACACUUUAGUGAUGUGCUUACUAGGCAAGUUGUGAUCAUAUACGGUUUGAACAGUUUAUCAUUGUAUGAGAUAGAUCAGUAACUUUAUUCUCUCUUUAGCUUUGGAUGCCAGCUUGAAGCUAUACAAGAGGAAUGGCAGAGUGUUAAGACACUCAUAAGCCACACAUUUCAGGACAAGUCCUACAGCAGCUUAUGGCAAAUGCUUUUGACUAAAGAGCCAUAUAAAACAGACUACAAGAACCUCCUGCACCUAGUUGAGAUCCUAUUGAUUCUGCCCAUUUCUGCUGCGCAGUGUGAGCGCGGUUUCUCAGCACAAAAGCGCAUCAAGAGCAAGAGCUCUUUAAGAAGUAGUUUGCAUGUAUCUACUACUGAGGACCUGAUUCGGAUCAGCACAGAGGGACCCUCCCUGGAACGUUUUGAUCCUACAAAAUGUGCUGAAAAUUGGCUGUCUGCUGGAAAGAGGUCAAGGCGACCAGGCUACAAAGCUUGGCCAAGUGACUCAGACAUGAUCUUCAUUUCAGAUGAAAUGUGAAACAUGCAUAGGGCCUACAUACAAUAAUAAAUAUACAAUGAAAUCUACAUGACGUUUUGUUUGACAGUUUUGGUCUGAUGUUCUUAACCUUACAACAAGUAUUGUAAUGUGUUAUUGUUAAUAACAAUAAUAAUAAACUUAUACAACAAAA
Molecule: long non-coding RNA, 1484 nt
Organism: Alosa sapidissima (American shad)
Lineage: Eukaryota; Metazoa; Chordata; Actinopteri; Clupeiformes; Clupeidae
Exons: 3
Source: RefSeq, a predicted model, not a curated record